Molecule: long non-coding RNA, 2270 nt
Organism: Rhododendron vialii
Lineage: Eukaryota; Viridiplantae; Streptophyta; Magnoliopsida; Ericales; Ericaceae
Exons: 3
Source: RefSeq, a predicted model, not a curated record
GGAGUAGGUAGGGGCGAUAGUGUGUUUAAUGGUUGAAUUUGUGAGUUGGAAAUCGCAUGUUGGGCGAAUGAGAUCAAACAGAAGGGGGAAAUCAGCUACAAACGGUAACUGUGAAUGUCGGGAUGCUACAAGGGUGAGCUAUGGUUGGGAUUGUUCGGUUAACAAGUUGAAAUGAUACAAGUCUGGGGAAAUACAAAUCAGGUCGGGAUUGAAUUGUGUUGAGAGAAUGGGCAAUGCCUAUAAGCAGUUGCAGUGGUCAGAUGGGAAAUGGGAUAACUUCGCAGAAGUGAAACUGGGGCAGAGUGUUGGUGUUAUUGAAAACCAUUCGGAGAGAAUGGAACAGGUAUAACUUUAUUGUUGUUUGAUUUGAUAACAUGUUCAUGCAUUAUGGCUUCGUGUCAAAGUCAGUCCAGUCGACUGGAGUGUCAGUGGUGUUGUGAGGAAAUAGACAAUGUGUCUAUUAAAUCACGACAUGUCUUGCAUAUUGUCAUAUUCGCAUGCCAUCAAUGAUAUAUAUGUUGUGGACUAACCUUGUUUUGAAGGGACAUGUUACAACAGAACUGAGUUUGGAUUUCUGGAACAGAAUUCGAGAGUGGCACUGGGUUGACAAUGAGACGUGGAACAGUGUUGAAAUUUCGGUUGUGAUGGAAUGAUGGAAAGGGCGUUGGGGUUUAUGAGGAAAUGCAUAGAGGAAGUAGAUUAAGUGAAGCAUAGAUGAUUGUUACGGUCAGAUGUGAAAUUUUAAGUGAUAGUUGAGAUACGAUGGUAGUAAGUUUUGUGAUGAGUUGAAGGUUAGGAAGAUUAGGUGGGUUGUUGAUUCGUGUUAGUAUGUGUUGGGAUGGAUCGUAUACUAGUAUAUACAAAUUUCUUGAGGUGUUGUUUGUGUGUGAUGGAUGUACUUGUUUGGUGUACUUAAGUGAUAAAAUGGUUAAUGGACCAUGAUCAUAUAAUAUGCAUAUAAUAUUGUUUCAAGAUCAAUGUUUGUUGGUGUAUCAAGUAGUGUGAUUAUGCUAAUUGAUAGUAUGAGGUUAAAACUUAAUUUUCCUAGAAAGUUUAUACUCAUGUUUUGAGAGUGUGUGGUGGUAUAGGAGUCAUGAGAGUUUAUUAAGUUGGUGCUGAUGUUGAGAUUGCGUUAUAUUGAUUUUAACGAGAGUUUGAGAGUUUUGGUUGGAAUUUACCCUAUUAAAGGAUAAGCUUAUAAAUUUCCUACGGUGGAAUUGUGUGAAAUGAUGAAAGUGGUUUUGGCAUGUAGGUGUGUUGGGUACCGUGUUGUGUGUUAGUUGUUGUUGAGAGAAGUGAUUGAUAGGGCUGGUGCGAAGUAUGAAUUGUCCUUGCUAAGGAAGUUACUGGUGUUGGGAUAUGUGGAGCUUUGACAAGAGUUGGAGAUUUGUUUUUGGUGGUGUUAUUGAGUUUGAGGUUGGGUGUUGUGUGGUUGCUGAGUAAUUUUGAGUGUAUGCAUGUUUGAGAUUAUUUUCUUUGAGGUGAGAUUUCGGUAGAGGUUGGAUUUAUUCUUUUUGAAGUUUGGUUUUUGUUUACAUGUGGAUGAGUUGUGUAAGUUGGUGAAGGUGUUUGUUUUGGGGAUGGUGUUGGUAACUUUGUGAGGUUGGUUUUUGUUGACUUUGUGGCGGGUAUUAUUUCGGGGACGAAAUAUUCCAAGUGGGGGAGAGUUGUAACACCCGUCCCAGGAUAUUUAGGGUUUCGAUUUAAUUUUGAGGUUUAGGGUUUAAUUUGUAUUUGUUGGAUUCUAUGAGGGGCUUUGGUGUGAUUUACAUGGAGAAUUGUUAUUGGUUUGGAGCAUAAGUUGAGAGGAGAGGUGACCAUAUGGGAUUUCUUCCUAAGUGACUAAAUAGUCAUCAGGAGGAUAUUUCCUCAUUCUGCCGACAUAGAGAGAGAGAGAGAGGGGGAGAGAAAGGGAGGAGGAGGUCUCGGCUAAGGGGAGGGAGGAAGGAGAGGUCCGUUUUCGACGAUCCAACUCGGUGACAAGUAACGAGCCGGUCUUUUAGGAGGUGCCGAAACCGUAAGUUUGGCAUACUCCAGUCGAAUGAAAGGUAGCAGGUGGCUUAGAGUGGGUCCACUACUGGUCAACGCUUUGGAGAGUGCUAGACUAGCGUCGGGUGAUGUCUUUGGUUAGAUUGUUGCGUAGCUGAUUCGUCUAGAAGCUAACCUAAAUGUUAUGUAAUUAAUUGGAGAGAGGGAUAUUUAUUAUAACUUGAGAGUUGAGGUUUUGGGCGUUGACUUGGUUGUAUUUUAAGUGAGAAGUCUUCCGCUAA